This is a long non-coding RNA of Armigeres subalbatus, 222 nucleotides long. RefSeq lists it as uncharacterized. The record is from RefSeq and is a predicted model, not a curated record. The transcript is spliced from 2 exons. Lineage: Eukaryota; Metazoa; Arthropoda; Insecta; Diptera; Culicidae.
GUCUAGUCUCAGUUGAUUAGUAGAAAAACGAAGUAAACGAAGUGUUCCUUUUAUUAUUUGAUUAUGCGAGCAAGCGACGGCUGAUCAUUGGCCGCUGUACCGUGAAAUUGAGGUAAUGAUAAAACACUGCUGCUUGCCAUCAUCACUGAUGAUUCAAUAAAUAUCAUUCGGCGACUAUCAUCGAGCUAUAUCACCAACGGGAUACAAUACAAAAUUGAACAG